UUUAAUCGCCGUAACUUCAAAAUAACAUCACUUGAGAUUUUACUGAAUUUAGAAAGAGUGAAUAACUAGACGUACCUUCCUGGUACGCUUCGGCAGCAAAUCAGGCUCGUUUGUUAUCGCCAGGGGUAUAUUGGCUCGACUGCGUGCCAAAAUGGUACGAUUAGGUGAGAACUGGGUGAAAUAUCUAUUAGAUCAUGCAAGAAAGAACACGUGGAUGAUUGUCGCGAGCGCUGGCGCUGGCAAGAAGAGCGAGAGUUUUUCAACAGGCUGUAUUUUAGUGCAAAGCAAAAAGGCAAAAAAGGUUAUGAACUUCAGUGCCUUCAGAGGAUGAAGUCCAACAUCAUAUCACAAUCUGCCGCUUCAAUUAAACAAUGGUCGAAAGUAAAAGUGAGGAUUCUGUUACAACUGCAAAGAGAGCUGAGGAAAAGGAAAGUGGAAAGGGAGCAUGCCUGUAUGUGUCCUCAGCAAAAAGUUCAGAUUCAACAACAAUCAUCAUCAAGAAGCUGGAGACCAUUAGGAUUUACUGUUAACAUUAGGAAUCAAGCAUUGCAUCAGCUUCACAGUUAUGUGCCUCCAUGAGGAUGGCUCUUAUUGUGUUGGAAGACUGUGAAGAAAACAAUUUCAUUGAGACUAUCAAGAAUAAAAGUUUGAAUUUGAUGUAAUCUUCGCUACACCUCAGACCAAAAAGCUCUGCUUUUUCUCCUUUUUCUCUCAACAAUCACCGAAGGAUGAUGAUACAACAAGCACACACCCAUUGUAUUUAUUUCUUCUGGACCCCUGUCAGGUAAAGCUGUUCCUUUCUCCCUGGUUACUUAUAUCACCAUGGUAACUGGCCAAAGUAGCCCUCUCUUAUUCCUUAUUAAGGGUUAAAACCAGUUAUAACACGUGUUGGAAACAUUGUGCCCUUACCAAAAACAAUAUGCACGGAAAAUGUUUACCAGAUAAGGGUAAAUAUUACCUGAAUGGACCAAUCAGAGCACUUUGUUUUGCACCGGGUAAAGUUUACAUGACUGGAGUAAACUUUACCUCUAGCAAUUCGCAAAACAGAGCACUUGUGGGCUGUAAUGGCGCAGGAUAAUUACAUUCUUUCAAUUGUAGCUUCCUAGAAUCAAAUUUUGCAAUUUAAAGGUGAAAUAAGGUGCAAAACCGAUCAGCUUUUGAAUAGAAUGGCACGCUCUUGGAUUUGUUAAGAUUCAAAGAGUGACACGGCUUUGUCCGCAAAGUCAUGUUUGUUUUAGCGUUGUAUCAAACAUUGUUGACAUGAAGGUGUUUUAUUGAAAGGUUCUAGGUGAUAAGUUUGCACACUAGCAAACCAGGCAUGUAAUCUAAUUCCACAGCAAUCCUAGCAUAUGUUAGCGACCUCGUUGGCGGCAUAACUUGCAAGUUUGUGAUCGUUCAUUGAGCUGCCAUGACAAUGUGCACCAUUACUUCCCUUUCCAAAAUUCAUUUUUCUUUACAAAGAGACAGAGCUGACCUCCUUGAUCAGUAGUAAAAGAAGGGGCUCUGCAGAAAUAUACUUGAUGCAAGAGCAGUACAUUGAUGAGCUUGUGUUCAAAUGCUUGACGCUGGAGUGUGAUCUGGGAAGUGCAGUAAAUUGCCUGAUAAUGCAACCAGGACAAUAAACAGUUACUCCUAAAUCAAAGAGGCCUGGCAUUGUUAGAAAAAGGAAAUUUGAUGCAGAUUUUCUAUCAUCAAGGAACAAUGAUUGUGAAGGUGCUGCAACAGCAAGCCCUAAAGAUUGGCAAAUUCCAGCCUCAAAUUGGGGUCUACACGCACCUUCAAUUUUGUCAUAUUUACAUGGCUAUGACAGCUAACAAUGUGCAUAUAAUCACAUUAAUCCACUCUUGAUCCCUUUAUCACCUAUGCAUCAGCAAGACUAAUCAUGAGGAGAAGAGUGGUGUGCCUAUCCCAGCAAAGCAAAUGUCAUGGGGUGAUGUGAACCACACACAGCUGCUGCCACUCCAUCCAUAUCACUAUUAUCAUCAUGUAUCAAAUGGAAAAAGUAAUGUUCAUGUAAAGAAAGACAGAGGUGGCACAGAGAGCACCAUUAUGUCUAGUGGGUAUAUGCAGAGUGAUAAGUGGCAACCUUCAGUGGUUACAAAAGAA
Pocillopora verrucosa is the source of this 2106-nucleotide non-coding RNA. Lineage: Eukaryota; Metazoa; Cnidaria; Anthozoa; Scleractinia; Pocilloporidae. The record is from RefSeq and is a predicted model, not a curated record.